CGGGGUGUGGCCUAGUGAUUAAGGCGUCCGCUUUGGGAGCGGAAGAUCGCAAGUUUGAAUCUUGUCACCCCGA
RNAcentral lists this transfer RNA (73 nucleotides) under Patescibacteria group bacterium. Its description in RNAcentral is "tRNA-Pro". It matches the Rfam family "tRNA". From Rfam's summary of the family: Transfer RNA (tRNA) molecules are approximately 80 nucleotides in length. The record is from RNAcentral.